UACGGAGGGUGCAAGCGUUAUCCGGAUUCACUGGGUUUAAAGGGUGCGUAGGAGGACUGGUAAGUCAGUGGUGAAAUCCCCGAGCUUAACUUGGGAACUGCCGUUGAUACUAUCAGUCUUGAAUACCGUGGAGGUGAGCGGAAUAUGUCAUGUAGCGGUGAAAUGCUUAGAUAUGACAUAGAACACCGAUAGCGAAGGCAGCUUGCUACACAAUUAUUGACACUGAGGCUCGAAAGCGUGGGGAUCAAACAGG
This 253-nucleotide ribosomal RNA is filed under the name uncultured bacterium. RNAcentral describes it as "partial 16S ribosomal RNA". It matches the Rfam family "Bacterial small subunit ribosomal RNA", at positions 524 to 776 of the family's 1533-position model. The record is from RNAcentral.